RNAcentral lists this ribosomal RNA (469 nucleotides) under uncultured bacterium. RNAcentral's name for it is "partial 16S ribosomal RNA". It matches the Rfam family "Bacterial small subunit ribosomal RNA", at positions 27 to 507 of the family's 1533-position model. The record is from RNAcentral.
GGACGAGCGCUGGCGGCGUGCUUAACCCAUGCAAGUCGAACGGAAAGGCCCUGCUUUUGUGGGGUGCUCGAGUGGCGAACGGGUGAGUAACACGUGAGUAACCUGCCCUUGACUUUGGGAUAACUUCAGGAAACUGGGGCUAAUACCGGAUAGGAGCUCCUGCUGCAUGGUGGGGGUUGGAAAGUUUCGGCGGUUGGGGAUGGACUCGCGGCUUAUCAGCUUGUUGGUGGGGUAGUGGCUUACCAAGGCUUUGACGGGUAGCCGGCCUGAGAGGGUGACCGGCCACAUUGGGACUGAGAUACGGCCCAGACUCCUACGGGAGGCAGCAGUGGGGAAUAUUGCACAAUGGGCGGAAGCCUGAUGCAGCAACGCCGCGUGCGGGAUGACGGCCUUCGGGUUGUAAACCGCUUUCGCCUGUGACGAAGCGUGAGUGACGGUAAUGGGUAAAGAAGCACCGGCUAACUACGUG